RNAcentral lists this long non-coding RNA (216 nucleotides) under Aquilegia coerulea. RNAcentral's name for it is "long non-coding RNA (ACOE_LNC000679)". The record is from RNAcentral. Lineage: Eukaryota; Viridiplantae; Streptophyta; Magnoliopsida; Ranunculales; Ranunculaceae.
CUAGAUAAUUACAAAAAAAAAAUUGAAAAACUUAUUACCAUUGGAGAGCUCAAUCUCUGCUUUCAAAACUGAAAUCAUAUGAUCUAGCUAGACAUUAUUAAAGGGUUAUAUACAUCAAAACAAAAGAAUUCUUUGGAGAGUUAAACAUGGUGUCUUUGAAGAGAAGAUCUAUGAGUGUAGUGAAUUGUAGUAGAGUAUAGUAUACUCAAUCUGAAA